GAUGAAGAACGUAGCAAAAUGCGAUAAGUAAUGUGAAUUGCAGAAUUCAGUGAAUCAUCGAAUCUUUGAACGCACAUUGCGCCCGCUGGUAUUCCGGCGGGCAUGCCUGUUCGAGCGUCAUUUCAACCCUCAAGCCCCCGGGUUUGGUGUUGGGGAUCGGCUCUGCCCUUCUGGGCGGUGCCGCCCCUGAAAUACAUUGGCGGUCUCGCUGCAGCCUCCAUUGCGUAGUAGCUAACACCUCGCAACUGGAACGCGGCGCGGCCAUGCCGUAAAACCCCAACUUCUGAAUGUUGACCUCGGAUCAGGUAGGAAUACCCGCUGAACUUAAGCAUAUCAAUAAGCGGAGGA
Molecule: unclassified non-coding RNA, 348 nt
Filed under: soil metagenome
Description: partial contains 5.8S ribosomal RNA, internal transcribed spacer 2, and large subunit ribosomal RNA
Rfam family: 5.8S ribosomal RNA (bases 1-120)
Source: RNAcentral